GUGCCAGCCGCCGCGGUAAUACGGAGGAGGCAAGCGUUAUCCGGAAUUAUUGGGCGUAAAGCGUCCGUAGGUGGUUAAUCAAGUCAGCUGUUAAAGAGCGGAGCUUAACUCCGUUAGAGCGGUUGAAACUGAUUGACUAGAGUUUGGUAGGGGUCGAGGGAAUUCCCAGUGUAGCGGUGAAAUGCGUAGAUAUUGGGAAGAACACCGGUGGCGAAAGCGCUCGACUGGGCCUGAACUGACACUGAGGGACGAAAGCUAGGGGAGCGAAAGGGAUUAGAUACCCCUGUAGUCC
This 292-nucleotide ribosomal RNA is filed under the name uncultured bacterium. RNAcentral describes it as "partial 16S ribosomal RNA". It matches the Rfam family "Bacterial small subunit ribosomal RNA", at positions 505 to 796 of the family's 1533-position model. The record is from RNAcentral.